UGCAAGUCGAGCGGACCGACGGGAGCUUGCUCCCUUAGGUCAGCGGCGGACGGGUGAGUAACACGUGGGUAACCUGCCUGUAAGACUGGGAUAACUCCGGGAAACCGGGGCUAAUACCGGAUGCUUGAUUGAACCGCAUGGUUCAAUCAUGAAAGGCGGCUUCGGCUGCCGUUUACAGAUGGACCCGCGGCGCAUUAGCUAGUUGGUGAGGUAACGGCUCACCAAGGCGACGAUGCGUAGCCGACCUGAGAGGGUGAUCGGCCACACUGGGACUGAGACACGGCCCAGACUCCUACGGGAGGCAGCAGUAGGGAAUCUUCCGCAAUGGACGAAAGUCUGACGGAGCAACGCCGCGUGAGUGAUGAAGGUUUUCGGAUCGUAAAGCUCUGUUGUUAGGGAAGAACAAGUACCGUUCGAAUAGGGCGGUACCUUGACGGUACCUAACCAGAAAGCCACGGCUAACUACGUGCCAGCAGCCGCGGUAAUACGUAGGUGGCAAGCGUUGUCCGGAAUUAUUGGGCGUAAAGCGCGCGCAGGCGGUUUCUUAAGUCUGAUGUGAAAGCCCCCGGCUCAACCGGGGAGGGUCAUUGGAAACUGGGGAACUUGAGUGCAGAAGAGGAGAGUGGAAUUCCACGUGUAGCGGUGAAAUGCGUAGAGAUGUGGAGGAACACCAGUGGCGAAGGCGACUCUCUGGUCUGUAACUGACGCUGAGGCGCGAAAGCGUGGGGAGCGA
RNAcentral lists this ribosomal RNA (733 nucleotides) under Bacillus sp. CH21. RNAcentral describes it as "bacterial SSU rRNA". It matches the Rfam family "Bacterial small subunit ribosomal RNA", at positions 56 to 771 of the family's 1533-position model. The record is from RNAcentral. Lineage: Bacteria; Bacillati; Bacillota; Bacilli; Caryophanales; Bacillaceae.